RNAcentral lists this long non-coding RNA (1046 nucleotides) under Marmota monax (woodchuck). Lineage: Eukaryota; Metazoa; Chordata; Mammalia; Rodentia; Sciuridae. The record is from RNAcentral.
UUUAAUAUUAUUUAGUUUCUCCUCUGAUUGACUAUUCCUUUAGUGUAGUUCCUCCCUUCGCUGGUUUUCACUUUUUAAAAAUUUCAUCUUCAUGGAAUAUCUUGUUGGGAAUAUUCUGAAGAGCAGGCUUUCUGGUUGUGGAUUCUUUUAAUUUGUGUUUAUCAUGGAAGGUUUUCAAGGGCUGGGGCUGUAGCUCAGUGGCAGAGCACUUGCCUAGCAUGUGUGAGACACUGUAUUCGAUCCUUAGCACCACAUAAAAAUGAAACAAAAUAAAGGCGUGCUGUCCAUCUACAACUACAAAAACAAAAUUAGAAAAAAAAAUAGUUCAGCACAGUAUCAGAGAUGCUGUGAACCACUGGAGCCGCACAGCCUCUCAGAGAUGGGCAUGGCUUGCUAAAAUGCCAAUCAACCUCUUUGCCACAACAACCCAUGCCACAACAAGAAGCAAGACUCCUCACUGAAACCUUAUCCCUGCCUUUGAUGUACUCCCCCUUAAAUAAAGAAUUGGAGCCAUUUUUAAAAAUUUUAGUUGUAGGUGUACACAAUAAUCUUUAUUUUAUUUUUAUGUGGUGCUGAGGAUCAAACACAGAGCCUCAUGUGUGCUAGGCGAGCACUUUACCACUGAGCCACAAUCCCAGCCCCAAAUUGGAGUCAUUUUAAAAAAGAGAAUCAAGGGAAACAGAAAAAUAUAUAUAAAACAAAAAUAUAAAAAACAUAUAUAAACAAAAAAAUGUAUAUAAUGCAAAAGUUUAAAUAAAAAGAUUAAAAGAAUAUAAAACAAAACUAAAAUACACUAAUCAAACAUCCUAGUUCACAAAAAACUUCUAAGAACUAUCUUUUGAAGAAUGGGUUUCUCUAUUGUUUUCUUGUUUUCAAUUUUACUGUCUUCUGCGCUUUAUUUAUGCCCUUCUGUUUUCUUUGUGUUUCUUUUGCUUUUGUUUUUCUGGUUUUUAGAAGUAGAAACUUAGCUUAUGGAUUUGAGAUCCUUCUUCUUUUCUAAUAUAAACACUUAAUGCUAAAAUUUCCCUUUUCAUAUUCCUUUGCAC